GAUGAACGCUGGCGGCGUGCCUAAUACAUGCAAGUCGAGCGAACAGACGAGGAGCUUGCUCCUCUGACGUUAGCGGCGGACGGGGGAGUAACACGUGGAUAACCUACCUAUAAGACUGGGAUAAAUUCGGGAAACCGGAGCUAAUACCAGAUAAUAUAUUGAAUCGCAUGGUACAAUAGUGAAAGACGGUUUUGCAGUCUCUUAUAGUUGGAUCCGCGCCGCAGUAGCUUUUUGGUAAGGGAACGGCUACGCACGGCAACGAUGCGUAGCCGACCUGAGAGGGUGAUCGGCCACACUGGGACAGACACGGUCCAGACUCCUACGGGAGGCAGCAGUAGGGAAUCUUCCGCAAUGGGCGAAAGCUUGACGGAGCAACGCCGCGUGAGUGAUGAAGGUCUUCGGAUCGUAAAACUCUGUUAUUAGGGAAGAACAAAUGUGUAAGUAACUAUGCACGUCUUGACGGUACCUGAUCAGAAAGCCACGGCUAACUACGUG
This 495-nucleotide ribosomal RNA is filed under the name uncultured bacterium. Its description in RNAcentral is "partial 16S ribosomal RNA". It matches the Rfam family "Bacterial small subunit ribosomal RNA", at positions 28 to 507 of the family's 1533-position model. The record is from RNAcentral.